Molecule: transfer RNA, 94 nt
Filed under: Candidatus Cloacimonadota bacterium
Lineage: Bacteria; Pseudomonadati; Candidatus Cloacimonadota
Description: tRNA-Ser
Rfam family: tRNA
About the family: Transfer RNA (tRNA) molecules are approximately 80 nucleotides in length. Their secondary structure includes four short double-helical elements and three loops (D, anti-codon, and T loops). Further hydrogen bonds mediate the characteristic L-shaped molecular structure. tRNAs have two regions of fundamental functional importance: the anti-codon, which is responsible for specific mRNA codon recognition, and the 3' end, to which the tRNAs corresponding amino acid is attached (by aminoacyl-tRNA synthetases). tRNAs cope with the degeneracy of the genetic code in two manners: having more than one tRNA (with a specific anti-codon) for a particular amino acid; and 'wobble' base-pairing, i.e. permitting non-standard base-pairing at the 3rd anti-codon position.
Source: RNAcentral
GGAGAAAUGGCUGAGUCUGGCUAAAGGCACUCGACUCGAAAUCGAGAGGGCUCUGAAAAGAGUCCCUUGGGUUCAAAUCCCAAUUUCUCCGCCA